AUUGAACGCUGGCGGCAGGCCUAACACAUGCAAGUCGAACGGUAACAGGAAGCAGCUUGCUGCUUCGCUGACGAGUGGCGGACGGGUGAGUAAUGUCUGGGAAGCUGCCUGAUGGAGGGGGAUAACUACUGGAAACGGUAGCUAAUACCGCAUAAUGUCGCAAGACCAAAGAGGGGGACCUUCGGGCCUCUUGCCAUCGGAUGUGCCCAGAUGGGAUUAGCUUGUUGGUGGGGUAACGGCUCACCAAGGCGACGAUCCCUAGCUGGUCUGAGAGGAUGACAAGCCACACUGGAACUGAGACACGGUCCAGACUCCUACGGGAGGCAGCAGUGGGGAAUAUUGCACAAUGGGCGCAAGCCUGAUGCAGCCAUGCCGCGUGUAUGAAGAAGGCCUUCGGGUUGUAAAGUACUUUCAGCGGGGAGGAAGGGAGUAAAGUUAAUACCUUUGCUCAUUGACGUUACCCGCAGAAGAAGCACCGGCUAACUCCGUG
RNAcentral lists this ribosomal RNA (490 nucleotides) under uncultured bacterium. Its description in RNAcentral is "partial 16S ribosomal RNA". It matches the Rfam family "Bacterial small subunit ribosomal RNA", at positions 30 to 507 of the family's 1533-position model. The record is from RNAcentral.